GGAUAACUAUUGGAAACGAUAGCUAAUACCGCAUAAUAUUGAUUAUUGCAUGAUAAUUGAUUGAAAGAUGCUAUUGCAUCACUACCAGAUGGACCUGCGUUGUAUUAGCUAGUAGGUGAGGUAACGGCUCACCUAGGCGACGAUACAUAGCCGACCUGAGAGGGUGAUCGGCCACACUGGGACUGAGACACGGCCCAG
This 198-nucleotide ribosomal RNA is filed under the name uncultured Streptococcaceae bacterium. RNAcentral's name for it is "partial 16S ribosomal RNA". It matches the Rfam family "Bacterial small subunit ribosomal RNA", at positions 141 to 334 of the family's 1533-position model. Lineage: Bacteria; Bacillati; Bacillota; Bacilli; Lactobacillales; Streptococcaceae. The record is from RNAcentral.